UGGGGAAUAUUGGACAAUGGGCGGAAGCCUGAUCCAGCAACGCCGCGUGAGGGAUGACGGCCUUCGGGUUGUAAACCUCUUUCAUCAUCGACGAAGCAGCGUGUUUAGCGUUGUGACGGUAGGUGGAGAAGAAGCACCGGCCAACUACGUGCCAGCAGCCGCGGUAAUACGUAGGGUGCGAGCGUUGUCCGGAAUUAUUGGGCGUAAAGGGCUCGUAGGCGGUUUGUCGCGUCGGGAGUGAAAACACUGGGCUUAACCGAGUGCUUGCUUUCGAUACGGGCAGACUUGAGGCAUUCAGGGGAGAACGGAAUUCCUAGUGUAGCGGUGAAAUGCGCAGAUAUUAGGAGGAACACCGGUGGCGAAGGCGGUUCUCUGGGAAUGUUCUGACGCUGAGGAGCGAAAGUGUGGGGAGCGAACAG
This 419-nucleotide ribosomal RNA is filed under the name uncultured bacterium. Its description in RNAcentral is "bacterial SSU rRNA". It matches the Rfam family "Bacterial small subunit ribosomal RNA", at positions 355 to 775 of the family's 1533-position model. The record is from RNAcentral.